This 253-nucleotide ribosomal RNA is filed under the name uncultured bacterium. RNAcentral's name for it is "partial 16S ribosomal RNA". It matches the Rfam family "Bacterial small subunit ribosomal RNA", at positions 524 to 776 of the family's 1533-position model. The record is from RNAcentral.
UACAGAGGGUGCAAGCGUUGUUCGGAAUUAUUGGGCGUAAAGGGCGCGUAGGCGGUGCGGUAAGUCUGUAGUGAAAUCCCUCGGCUCAACCGAGGAACGUCGAUCGAUACUGCUGUUCUUGAGGAUUGCAGAGGAGACUGGAAUUCCCGGUGUAGCGGUGAAAUGUGUAGAGAUCGGGAGGAACACCGGUGGCGAAGGCGGGUCUCUGGGCAAUUCCUGACGCUGAGGCGCGAAAGCGUGGGGAGCAAACGGG